UGUGUGGGAGGGUGUGCACAUAUGCAUGUGAGCAAACACAUAAUCACUCACACACACACACACACACACACACACAUCUGCACUCAUCAUUU
RNAcentral lists this microRNA precursor (92 nucleotides) under Echinops telfairi (small Madagascar hedgehog). RNAcentral's name for it is "miRNA (ENSETEG00000023819.1)". The record is from RNAcentral. Lineage: Eukaryota; Metazoa; Chordata; Mammalia; Afrosoricida; Tenrecidae.